RNAcentral lists this ribosomal RNA (513 nucleotides) under uncultured bacterium. RNAcentral's name for it is "partial 16S ribosomal RNA". It matches the Rfam family "Bacterial small subunit ribosomal RNA", at positions 29 to 523 of the family's 1533-position model. The record is from RNAcentral.
AACGAACGCUGGCGGCGUGCCUAAUACAUGCAAGUUGAGCGCUGAAGGUUGGUACUUGUACCGACUGGAUGAGCAGCGAACGGGUGAGUAACGCGUGGGGAAUCUGCCUUUGAGCGGGGGACAACAUUUGGAAACGAAUGCUAAUACCGCAUAAAAACUUUAAACACAAGUUUUAAGUUUGAAAGAUGCAAUUGCAUCACUCAAACAUGAUCACGCGUUGUAUUAGCUAGUUGGUGAGGUAAAGGCUCACCAAGGAGAUGAUACAUAGCCGACCUGAGAGGGUGAUCGGCCACAUUGGGACUGAGACACGGCCCAAACUCCUACGGGAGGCAGCAGUAGGGAAUCUUCGGCAAUGGACGAAAGUCUGACCGAGCAACGCCGCGUGAGUGAAGAAGGUUUUCGGAUCGUAAAACUCUGUUGGUAGAGAAGAACGUUGGUGAGAGUGGAAAGCUCAUCAAGUGACGGUAACUACCCAGAAAGGGACGGCUAACUACGUGCCAGCCGCCGCUGUAA